This 90-nucleotide transfer RNA is filed under the name Elstera sp. RNAcentral's name for it is "tRNA-Ser". It matches the Rfam family "tRNA". Rfam says of the family: Transfer RNA (tRNA) molecules are approximately 80 nucleotides in length. RNAcentral also lists the same sequence under 4 other names. Lineage: Bacteria; Pseudomonadati; Pseudomonadota; Alphaproteobacteria; Rhodospirillales; Rhodospirillaceae. The record is from RNAcentral.
GGAAGUGUGGCCGAGUGGUUUAAGGCUCUAGUCUUGAAAACUAGCGUAGGGGGAACUCUACCGUGGGUUCGAAUCCCACCGCUUCCGCCA